CUGCUGAGUUUUCAUUUGCCUUUUUUUAUUAAGUUUUGUUCUGUCCUUUUCUUCCUGGCAUAGCUCACACGCAGAUCCAUUUUGCUGCUAUAAUUGAAAGCACAGCCUGUGAAGUCUACCCUAAGCAAGCCAAGACCUCCUCUCCUGGAUUAAUACACUAGCCAUAGUCUUUGGAUUGGCAUCAAACGCAGUCCCAAGGAAGCUCAGUGAAGUGCGGAGUGAACACCCCCACCCCAUCCCAGCAACACUGAGAAUGUAAAUCGGGGGCUAUAUUUAAAGCGGGCAACCAAGUCUCAGAGGCCCUCACCUCCUUCACCCACCAGCCUGACCAAGGGUGGAUGUCAAGGGAAAUCUCUCCCACCGCUCAUUCUGUAAGUCGAGUCAGUUUCCCUCCUUUAGGGUCCCAAUAUAAACAAUUGUGUUAAGAGCUA
This 431-nucleotide long non-coding RNA is filed under the name Chrysemys picta bellii (western painted turtle). RNAcentral's name for it is "lncRNA (ENSCPBG00000007650.1)". The record is from RNAcentral. Lineage: Eukaryota; Metazoa; Chordata; Testudines; Emydidae.